GGGGGCGAUCGGUUUCGACGGGAUAUGCGUCGUGGUAAAUGGCAUAUCGAGGCCCAGGCAUCUCGUUAAUCACCUGGAAAAACCAUAAAUGCCGAUUACGGCUACAUGGCCGCUGCUUAAUUAAUUAAGCUGGCCCGUCCUGGAUUUGGUGCGCCUAUGGCCGGAUUCAAGGACGUCAAUUUCAUAGGCUGGUUCUGAUUGUUGUCUGUGAUAUCAGAAUAAGACAUUAACAGACUUUGCUCAUAAUGGCUGUGUCAACGGAGCAGUUAUGGGUAAGCCUAAUCCGCUUGACUAAAUAUGUAGAUGUUUAUUGUGAUUCUAUUUCGGACGGGAGUUCGAUUCUCCCCGCCUCCACUU
This 357-nucleotide transfer-messenger RNA is filed under the name bacterium. Its description in RNAcentral is "TCS55 sp002715035 Standard tmRNA". It matches the Rfam family "transfer-messenger RNA". From Rfam's summary of the family: Bacterial tmRNA, also known as 10Sa RNA or SsrA, is named for its dual tRNA and mRNA-like properties. Its role is to liberate the mRNA from a stalled ribosome. RNAcentral also lists the same sequence under 1 other name. The record is from RNAcentral.